Molecule: ribosomal RNA, 389 nt
Filed under: uncultured bacterium
Lineage: Bacteria
Description: bacterial SSU rRNA
Rfam family: Bacterial small subunit ribosomal RNA
Source: RNAcentral
AUUGAACGCUGGCGGCAUGCCUUACACAUGCAAGUCGAACGGCAGCACGGGAGCAAUCCUGGUGGCGAGUGGCGAACGGGUGAGUAAUAUAUCGGAACGUGCCCAGUCGUGGGGAUAACGUAGCGAAAGCUACGCUAAUACCGCAUACGAUCUAUGGAUGAAAGCGGGGGGAUCGCAAGACCUCGCGCGAUUGGAGCGGCCGAUAUCAGAUUAGGUAGUUGGUGAGGUAAAGGCUCACCAAGCCGACGAUCUGUAGCUGGUCUGAGAGGACGACCAGCCACACUGGGACUGAGACACGGCCCAGACUCCCUACGGGAGGCAGCAGUGGGGAAUUUUUGGGACAAUGGGCGCAAGCCUGAUCCAGCAAUGCCGCGUGCAGGAUGAAGGCC